Molecule: ribosomal RNA, 462 nt
Filed under: uncultured bacterium
Lineage: Bacteria
Description: bacterial SSU rRNA
Rfam family: Bacterial small subunit ribosomal RNA
Source: RNAcentral
UCCUACGGGAGGCAGCAGUGAGGAAUAUUGGUCAAUGGACGGAAGUCUGAACCAGCCAUGCCGCGUGGAGGAAGAAGGUCCUAUGGGUUGUAAACUCCUUUUGUCCGAGAGUAAUAAGGUCUUUGCGAAGACCGAUGGGAGUAUCGGGCGAAUAAGCAUCGGCUAACUCCGUGCCAGCAGCCGCGGUAAUACGGAGGAUGCAAGCGUUAUCCGGAUUUAUUGGGUUUAAAGGGUGCGCAGGCGGGCUGUUAAGUCAGCGGUGAAAUCUCCCGGCUCAACCGGGGAACUGCCGUUGAUACUGGCAGCCUAGAGUACAGACGGCGCCGGCGGAAUGUGUCAUGUAGCGGUGAAAUGCUUAGAUAUGCCACAGAACACCGAUCGCGAAGGCAGCUGGCGAGGCUGGGGCUGACGCUCAGGCACGAAAGCGUGGGGAUCAAACAGGAUUAGAUACCCUGGUAGUCC